This 468-nucleotide ribosomal RNA is filed under the name uncultured bacterium. Its description in RNAcentral is "partial 16S ribosomal RNA". It matches the Rfam family "Bacterial small subunit ribosomal RNA", at positions 28 to 507 of the family's 1533-position model. The record is from RNAcentral.
GACGAACGCUGGCGGCGUGCUUAACACAUGCAAGUCGAACGGAAAGGCCCUGCUUUUGUGGGGUGCUCGAGUGGCGAACGGGUGAGUAACACGUGAGUAACCUGCCCUUGACUUUGGGAUAACUUCAGGAAACUGGGGCUAAUACCGGAUAGGAGCUCCUGCUGCAUGGUGGGGGUUGGAAAGUUUCGGCUGUUGUGGAUGGACUCGCGGCUUAUCCGCUUGUUGGUGGGGUAGUGGCUUACCAAGGCUUUGACGGGUAGCCGGCCUGAGAGGGUGACCGGCCACAUUGGGACUGAGAGACGGCCCAGACGCCUACGGGAGGCAGCAGUGGGGAAUAUUGCGCAAUGGGCGGAAGCCUGAUGCAGCAACGCCGCGUGCGGGAUGACGGCCUUCGGGUUGUAAACCGCUUUCGCCUGUGACGAAGCGUGAGUGACGGUAAUGGGUAAAGAAGCACCGGCUAACUACGUG